This is a long non-coding RNA of Eurytemora carolleeae, 1008 nucleotides long. RefSeq lists it as uncharacterized. Lineage: Eukaryota; Metazoa; Arthropoda; Copepoda; Calanoida; Temoridae. The transcript has 3 exons. The record is from RefSeq and is a predicted model, not a curated record.
GUAAGUAUACGCUAGGAUAAACUGCGUAUCUGAGACCUGGUAAUGAACUGCUGGACUAAGGAGAGACUACAAACAUGACGAGGAGAAAGAUGAAAGCUUGGACGGGUUCCAGCAAAUAUUUGAAAAACAUUCCUGAGAAUGUUUUAAUAUCUAAUUUCAAGGAUUUUGCAGAAUACGUUCACUGUUUGUCAGACGAGAAAAUAAGGCUCAUUGCCUGGCCUGUUUACUAUAAGGAUGUUACGCAUUGGUGAAUCAAUAUCAAAGGACUCAUCUCUACGCAUCUAUUUACGCUUCUGCACAUUAUCUUGCUGUUGUCAUCAUCAUUACAUAGAAUUGUUAACCAUUAACUUUAAGACCUCUGAAUAAUGUCGUCUUCAACUUAAAACCUCCUAUCGGAGACAAAACCAUACCAAAUAAUUUCAGCCCGCAAUUACUUUGUACUCCGCCUCAUGGAGCCAAAACAUUUUUCGUUUAUUGUGAAAUCAUUAAAGUUAAGCAAGAAUAGUUUCAUAUAAAGCAUCAGUGAAUUUCAUUAAAUAUUAAAAAUGUAACUUUUUCAGAAGUUUAAAAAAAAGCAUUUCAAUACCGAUCAACAAUAAGUUCCCCUACCAUCCCCUAUUAAAUCGUAAGAUUUAUUUUAUUAUUAACAUUUAUUAUAACAUUGUACAUGUAACCAUGAUCUAUAAUUUAUGUUAUUUAAUAAAUAAAGCCUUUGUUAUCGAUUUUCUUGAGACGGGACAAUUCUGUUAUGUGUAUUGCUACGACCGACUGGGAUAUAAGAGUCUGGGGAAAUAAAUAUCCCCCACCAGAAUCUCAACGGGUCUUUUAUUCAAAUUUGUCUGGUGUGUUGCUGUUAUCUGUCAACAAGAAUAUGUACAUUGUACAGCUGGUCUCCCACAAAGAAUAUACUUUAAUUAUGACCUGGAACCAUUAAAAUAUGAGAUCUUAAGGUAAAUUGUAACCUUUGGAUUUGAUAUUGUCUUUUAAGGUGCAGGGGCGAAUACAGGA